GUAGCCUACGGGAGGCAGCAGUGGGGUAUAUUGCACAAUGGGGGAAACCCUGAUGCAGCGACGCCGCGUGUGGGAAGACGGUCCUCUGGAUUGUAAACCACUGUCCCCAGGGACGAAGAUGACGGUACCUGGGGAGGAAGCUCCGGCUAACUACGUGCCAGCAGCCGCGGUAAUACGUAGGGAGCGAGCGUUGUCCGGAAUUACUGGGUGUAAAGGGAGCGUAGGCGGGACUGGAAGGUGGGUGUCAAAUCUACCGGCACAACCGGAAG
RNAcentral lists this ribosomal RNA (269 nucleotides) under uncultured bacterium. RNAcentral describes it as "partial 16S ribosomal RNA". It matches the Rfam family "Bacterial small subunit ribosomal RNA", at positions 334 to 619 of the family's 1533-position model. The record is from RNAcentral.